RNAcentral lists this ribosomal RNA (497 nucleotides) under uncultured bacterium. RNAcentral describes it as "partial 16S ribosomal RNA". It matches the Rfam family "Bacterial small subunit ribosomal RNA", at positions 28 to 507 of the family's 1533-position model. The record is from RNAcentral.
GAUGAACGCUGGCGGCGUGCCUAAUACAUGCAAGUCGAGCGAACGGACGAGAAGCUUGCUUCUCUGAUGUUAGCGGCGGACGGGUGAGUAACACGUGGAUAACCUACCUAUAAGACUGGGAUAACUUCGGGAAACCGGAGCUAAUACCGGAUAAUAUUUUGAACCGCAUGGUUCAAAAGUGAAAGACGGUCUUGCUGUCACUUAUAGAUGGAUCCGCGCUGCAUUAGCUAGUUGGUAAGGUAACGGCUUACCAAGGCAACGAUGCAUAGCCGACCUGAGAGGGUGAUCGGCCACACUGGAACUGAGACACGGUCCAGACUACUACGGGAGGCAGCAGUAGGGAAUCUUCCGCAAUGGGCGAAAGCCUGACGGAGCAACGCCGCGUGAGUGAUGAAGGUCUUCGGAUCGUAAAACUCUGUUAUUAGGGAAGAACAUAUGUGUAAGUAACUGUGCACAGCUUGACGGUACCUAAUCAGAAAGCCACGGCUAACUACGUG